UCAUUCUGGGAGUCAGUCUGAUUGAAAACACUUCAGAUUUUUCUACACUGAUCAUCAGCACACUGCAGUCAUGACAGAAGUUGCAGGUGUAUGUGGAGUUGUAGCCUGGACCAAAGUGAAGCCGGUCACUCUAGAAGUGAUAAAGAUUUGCAUUGAGGUGAGGCCACAGAUAGAGAAGAUGAAAGAAGAUAAUUGGAAGAUUUACAUUCCUGUGGUCUACUCUCAGAUUGUGAAUGGAAUGAACUAUGUGGUCAAGGUGUUGGUUGAUGAACAUGGGGAUGGAGUGUGUGUUCAUGCAAUGAUAAAACUUUCCUGUAAUGGAGGGGAACUGAGUGUGACUGGAAUCCAGUUCCAUAAAAAGUUUGAUGACCCACUGAUCCACUUCUGAAAACUUACAGAAAUAGUCUGUCUUUAUUUAAUAACAGACACAUGUAAUGAGAGGAACUAGUGAAAUAGUUUCAAUCCUCAAUAUUAAACUGUAUUCAAGUCCUCCAGUGUCAGUGUGUUUACUGAAAAAUAUCAAACUCACUUCACAAAUGUUUUACACUG
Molecule: long non-coding RNA, 549 nt
Organism: Cyprinus carpio (common carp)
Lineage: Eukaryota; Metazoa; Chordata; Actinopteri; Cypriniformes; Cyprinidae
Source: Ensembl